RNAcentral lists this ribosomal RNA (579 nucleotides) under Sterigmatomyces halophilus. RNAcentral's name for it is "partial large subunit ribosomal RNA". It matches the Rfam family "Eukaryotic large subunit ribosomal RNA", at positions 62 to 626 of the family's 3401-position model. The record is from RNAcentral. Lineage: Eukaryota; Fungi; Basidiomycota; Agaricostilbomycetes; Agaricostilbales; Agaricostilbaceae.
AAACUAACAAGGAUUCCCCUAGUAACGGCGAGUGAAGCGGGAAGAGCUCAACAUUGUAAUCUGGCUGCUUCGCAGUCCGAGUUGUAGUCUAUAGAAGCAUGAUCCGCGCCGGCCCUUGGGCAUGUCUGUUGGAACGCAGUGUCAAAGAGGGUGAAAAUCCCGUACAUACCAAGGACGACCGUGUGCAUUGUGGUCUGCUCUCUAAGAGUCGAGUUGUUUGGGAAUGCAGCUCUAAUUGGGUGGUAAAUUCCAUCUAAAGCUAAAUAUCGACGAGAGACCGAUAGCGAACAAGUACAGUAAUGGAAAGAUGAAAAGUAGCCUGCAGAGGCAAUGAAACAAUACGUGAAACCGUUUGUAGGGAAGCGAUGGAACCUUUUCACGCUGCGAGGGUUCAGCUUGGCUUCGGCUUAGUGUAUUCCCUCGUUUUGCGGACCAGCAUCAGUUUGCUUCGCAGUAUAAGGGUGAUCGGAACGUGGCUUCUCCGGAAGUGUUAUAGCCUUUCACUGGAUGCUGUGUCGCAGACUGAGGACUGCAGUGCGCCGUAAGGCAUGGUCUUCGGGCCACGAGCACUUAGGAUGC